GAUCAUGGCUCAGAUUGAACGCUGGCGGCAGGCCUAACACAUGCAAGUCGAACGGUAACAGGAAACAGCUUGCUGUUUCGCUGACGAGUGGCGGACGGGUGAGUAAUGUCUGGGAAACUGCCUGAUGGAGGGGGAUAACUACUGGAAACGGUAGCUAAUACCGCAUAACGUCGCAAGACCAAAGAGGGGGACCCUCGGGCCUCUUGCCAUCGGAUGUGCCCAGAUGGGAUUAGCUUGUUUGGG
This 243-nucleotide ribosomal RNA is filed under the name uncultured bacterium. Its description in RNAcentral is "partial 16S ribosomal RNA". It matches the Rfam family "Bacterial small subunit ribosomal RNA", at positions 15 to 254 of the family's 1533-position model. The record is from RNAcentral.